UGGGGAAUAUUGCGCAAUGGGGGGAACCCUGACGCAGCCAUGCCGCGUGAAUGAAGAAGGCCUUCGGGUUGUAAAGUUCUUUCGGUAUUGAGGAAGGUUGAUGUGUUAAUAGCACAUCAAAUUGACGUUAAAUACAGAAGAAGCACCGGCUAACUCCGUGCCAGCAGCCGCGGUAAUACGGAGGGUGCGAGCGUUAAUCGGAAUAACUGGGCGUAAAGGGCACGCAGGCGGUUAUUUAAGUGAGGUGUGAAGCCCUGGGCUUAACCUAGGAAUUGCAUUUCAGACUGGGUAACUAGAGUACUUUAGGGAGGGGUAGAAUUCCACGUGUAGCGGUGAAAUGCGUAGAGAUGUGGAGGAAUACCGAAGGCGAAGGCAGCCCCUUGGGAAUGUACUGACGCUCAUGUGCGAAAGCGUGGGGAGCAAACAGGAUUAGAUACCCUGGUAGUCCACGCUGUAAACGCUGUCGAUUUGGGGAUUGGGCUUAGAGCUUGGUGCCCGUAGCUAACGUGAUAAAUCGACCGCCUGGGGAGUACGGCCGCAAGGUUA
RNAcentral lists this ribosomal RNA (546 nucleotides) under uncultured bacterium. RNAcentral describes it as "bacterial SSU rRNA". It matches the Rfam family "Bacterial small subunit ribosomal RNA", at positions 355 to 896 of the family's 1533-position model. The record is from RNAcentral.